Molecule: ribosomal RNA, 400 nt
Filed under: uncultured bacterium
Lineage: Bacteria
Description: bacterial SSU rRNA
Rfam family: Bacterial small subunit ribosomal RNA
Source: RNAcentral
GACGAACGCUGGCGGCGUGCCUAACACAUGCAAGUGGAGCGACGAACCAGGGCUUGCCCUGGGGCCAAGCCGCGAACGGGUGAGUAACACGUGGGUAACCUGCCCCGAUGACCGGGACAACCCGAGGAAACUCGGGCUAAUACCGGAUGUGGUGGACACACUUAAGUGUGUCCACUAAAGGAAGCUUCGGCCUCCGCAUUGGGAUGGGCCCGCGGCCCAUUAGCUAGUUGGUGGGGUAAAGGCCUACCAAGGCAACGAUGGGUAGCUGGUCUGAGAGGACGAUCAGCCACACUGGGACUGAGACACGGCCCAGACUCCUACGGGAGGCAGCAGUGGGGAAUCUUGCGCAAUGCGCGAAAGCGUGACGCAGCAACGCCGCGUGAGGGAAGACGGCCUCGGU